AUAACCCAAGGAGGGAGUGUAGUUUCUUUUUAACUUCAUGUGGAUGCAGAGGCGUGCAUUCUGUGUCUAGAGGCCUGGACUUUUCCAUGCACCGCAUUACACCAGAAACAAAGCCAGACCAAACCAAACACAUCGUUCAAGGUCUCUGGUGGUUCACCGUGCUGGAGAGGGUGGCUUUUCCAAGACCUUUGCAGACCAUCUUGUCAUCAGCUGUCAUGGUCAAGGUAACUUCCAAGCUGGAACCUAAAAUCCGAAGCCACAGGUACCUCCUUCUAACCACAGUGCUCAUUAUCCUGG
Molecule: long non-coding RNA, 297 nt
Filed under: Cricetulus griseus (Chinese hamster)
Lineage: Eukaryota; Metazoa; Chordata; Mammalia; Rodentia; Cricetidae
Description: lncRNA (ENSCGRG00000025913.1)
Source: RNAcentral